GUGGGGCUCAGCAGUUAAGAGCACUGGCUAAUCUUCCAGAAGACCUGGGUUCAAUUCCUAGCACCCACA
This 69-nucleotide transfer RNA is filed under the name Rattus norvegicus (Norway rat). It matches the Rfam family "tRNA". From Rfam's summary of the family: Transfer RNA (tRNA) molecules are approximately 80 nucleotides in length. Their secondary structure includes four short double-helical elements and three loops (D, anti-codon, and T loops). The record is from Rfam by way of RNAcentral. Lineage: Eukaryota; Metazoa; Chordata; Mammalia; Rodentia; Muridae.